This 253-nucleotide ribosomal RNA is filed under the name uncultured bacterium. RNAcentral's name for it is "partial 16S ribosomal RNA". It matches the Rfam family "Bacterial small subunit ribosomal RNA", at positions 524 to 776 of the family's 1533-position model. The record is from RNAcentral.
UACAGAGGGGGCAAGCGUUGUUCGGAAUUACUGGGCGUAAAGGGCGCGUAGGCGGCCCGCUAAGUCGAACGUGAAAUCCCUGGGCUCAACCCAGGAACUGCGUCCGAUACUGGCAGGCUUGAAUCCGGGAGAGGGAUGCGGAAUUCCAGGUGUAGCGGUGAAAUGCGUGGAUAUCUGGAGGAACACCGGUGGCGAAGGCGGCAUCCUGGACCGGCAUUGACGCUGAGGCGCGAAAGCCAGGGGAGCGAACGGG